ACAGAGUGACAGGUGGUGCAUGGUUGUCGUCAGCUCGUGUCGUGAGAUGUUGGGUUAAGUCCCGCAACGAGCGCAACCCUUGAUCUUAGUUGCCAGCAUUCAGUUGGGCACUCUAAGGUGACUGCCGGUGACAAACCGGAGGAAGGUGGGGAUGACGUCAAAUCAUCAUGCCCCUUAUGACCUGGGCUACACACGUGCUACAAUGGAUGGUACAAAGGGCAGCGAAGCCGCGAGGUGGAGCCAAUCCCAUAAAACCAUUCUCAGUUCGGAUUGCAGGCUGCAACUCGCCUGCAUGAAGCCGGAAUCGCUAGUAAUCGCGGAUCAGCAUGCCGCGGUGAAUACGUUCCCGGGCCUUGUACACACCGCCCGUCACACCACGAGAGUUUGUAACACCCGAAGUCGGUGGGGUAACCGUAAGGAGGCAGCCGCCUAAGGUGGGACAGAUGAUUGGGGUGAAGUCGUAACAAGGUAGCCGUAUCGGAAGGUGCGGCUGGAAC
Molecule: ribosomal RNA, 497 nt
Filed under: uncultured Caryophanales bacterium
Lineage: Bacteria; Bacillati; Bacillota; Bacilli; Caryophanales
Description: bacterial SSU rRNA
Rfam family: Bacterial small subunit ribosomal RNA
Source: RNAcentral